Molecule: long non-coding RNA, 2235 nt
Organism: Macadamia integrifolia
Lineage: Eukaryota; Viridiplantae; Streptophyta; Magnoliopsida; Proteales; Proteaceae
Exons: 3
Source: RefSeq, a predicted model, not a curated record
GCAGUAAUUUCCUACUAGCUAUUAUGUAUCAACAAUGAUAUUCUUCCAUUAAGUUCCAAUUUUUUCAACUAUCUUCUGUCCUGCUGGGAAGGAUCAUUUUGUUUGAUUGUCUCUGAAUUUAUGUACAAGCCAUGAAAGUUUGCACAAAACUAACUGAAAAUAGAGCGUCUUUGAUGAAUGGAAACUAAUGCACUCCAUCAAUCACCAUUGUAGCUGCUGAGACUCUUGAAUUAUGUGUGACAGAAUUCCUUAAAGAGAAGGUUUUAACAAAGUUGUCUAUAAAGAUUUCCAUUAUUUAUGCUUGUUCUUGAACUCCAUGUCUUGCAAUAGAUUUAUAUCCUCUUUCAUUUGCAACAGAUCAGUUCUUACUUCACAUUAAAGCUUCUUAGGAUUUUUUGGGACAUCAUCCUUGAUGUCAGGGGACUUAACAAAUCUGAGAAUGAUGAUACAUCUCACGGAUCCCUCAUAUUUCUGGUUCUCAAAUACAUAAGGGAGAUGCGGAGUUGGAGUUCAUUAAGCAUGUCUGCGCUGUUCUUGCUCUGGUUCUAAAAUACAUAAAGAGGAUGCAGCAUUGGAGUUCAUUAAGCAUGUUUGUGUUGUUCUUGCUUUAGAGUUCAUUAAGCAUGCUUGUUCUUUCCUCAAUCUAUGGUUGCACAGAAAUAAAUGGGUUUCCAGACUAUUUUAGCAAGUGAUAAGUUAAGAAAGAACAUGAAAGGGAUGGAAGUUAAGCAGUUAGGGCAGAGAAAAAGAGAAGUGCGAGAGAGAUAUGUCGGUCUAAUACUAAUCACCUAUUUAAGUUCAGUAUUUCUAGUAUCUCUCUCUCUCUCUCUCUCUCUCUCUCUCUCACACACACACACACACACACACACACACACACACACACACACCCACCCACCCACACACACACACACACAUAGUCACACACCCCUGAAGUCACAAAAACCCAAAACAAUUCUACAGUCUUGGAAAAUCAUAGUAUAUGCCUGAGUUAUGUUUCUUUGCCUACCACAUACCCCUUUCAUAUUUCUAUGAGCCUGCAGGAAGAGCUACUCAGACGGUGGUUUGUUCAUGUGCAAGAGGUGAAACUUGGUAUUUAUGUCACAUACAGUGUUGAUUUCUUUUACUUGCUAUUCUUGGAAGGUAGAACAGUUUAUAAUGGAAUUAUAAUGAGCGACGCAUAUGUUGCUGUUAACCUUUUUCUUUGCCUCAAAUUGUUCAGCCAAGAGAGAGAGAGAGAGUGGUACUUUGAUCUAUCGGUGUUCUUCUUACUUGUGUUUUCUUUGAGGUUCUCUAAUCUUCUAGAGCUGUGUGGAGUUGCAAAUCUUUCUUUUCAUUUUGUUCUUAUAAAUCUUUUUGAUUGAUAAAAAUGUUUUUUAAUCUAUGGUAAGAAAAUUCUUUUUUCUAUUCAUUUUCAAUUUGUGUAGGUUUUGAAUAUGUCACAUUUUGGCCUGUUUAUUUCACAUAGUCCAGGGGGGUUCUCUUCUGAUUGGCAGAGGAUGCCCUUGCCUGGAAACAUAGCACAACCAAUUUUAUUUAGUAUUUUUAGUGAGCUACCUUUGUAAAGUCAUAUCGAUAUUUACGUUUCCUAACAAAACAUUUGGUUUUGCCCUUUUCUAAUAUCUCGUGAUAUAUGUGACUUAGUGAUAUUUGUCUUGGUCAAUUUUUUUAUGACGAUGUGGAUCAUUGGGGUUGCUGGCACUGGUAGCAAAUCAGCGAUGUGCCAUAAUAUUUAUCAAAGUGGUAAAGAUGGAAAUAGAUGUUAAGGCAUGCAUAGUUGAGGCGGUGAUAUGAUGGAAAGAUUGUUGAUAAAGAAAUUAUGGAGAAAGAGGAUCUUGAUGUUGUAAUUUGUUCCUUCCUCAACCACAUGAGAAAAAUUUCUUGUUUGGAGUUACACUUGCUUGAUUGAAGUAAAGGUGGUGGCAAUCCCUUACAGGUGCUUCAUUGGAAGAAAGAUUUGAAAUCUAUUAAUUCUAUUUUAGGGCAAGAGAAUGCUAACCUGCUGGAGAAAGUACACUCCAUUAUGUAGGAGAAUCUUCAGUAAGGAAGUAGAACGGUCUUUCAGCCCCAGAUGUGUUCAGGCGUAGACACACACAAAUGGGUAGCUUUCUUUCUUCCUAUAUUUAAUUGGAAUGGUUUAUGUUUGGAAUUACAGAGUAGAUGGAUGAAAUGUGUUUUACUCCAUGAGCUUGCCCGAAAGACAUACUUUCCACUAUAAUAAGUUGAGACUUGAUUUCC